AAACGAAAAUAGCAAACCUAUCGAAAGGUAGGGACGCAAAGCUCUUAGUUUGGCGGAUGGCCGGGUUGCCGAA
RNAcentral lists this non-coding RNA (73 nucleotides) under Desulforamulus ferrireducens. RNAcentral's name for it is "Desulfotomaculum ferrireducens c-di-GMP sequence". It matches the Rfam family "c-di-GMP-I riboswitch aptamer". From Rfam's summary of the family: GEMM was predicted in a large-scale screen for bacterial structured RNA regulatory elements. Genes associated with GEMM are involved in a diverse array of functions, including chemotaxis regulation, signal transduction, secretion and chitin. The record is from Rfam by way of RNAcentral. Lineage: Bacteria; Bacillati; Bacillota; Clostridia; Eubacteriales; Peptococcaceae.